CCUACGGGCGGCAGCAGUGAGGAAUAUUGGUCAAUGGGCGCAAGCCUGAACCAGCCAAGUAGCGUGAAGGAUGACUGCCCUACGGGUUGUAAACUUCUUUUAUACAGGAAUAAAGUGAGUCACGUGUGCCUUUUUGUAUGUACUUUAUGAAUAAGGACCGGCUAACUCCGUGCCAGCAGCCGCGGUAAUACGGAGGAUCCGAGCGUUAUCCGGAUUUAUUGGGUUUAAAGGGAGCGUAGAUGGGUUGUUAAGUCAGUUGUGAAAGGUUGCGGCUCAACCGUAAAAUUGCAAUGGAAACUGGGAGGCUUGAGUACGGUGGAGGUAGGCGGAAUUCGUGGUGUAGCGGUGAAAUGCUUAGAUAUCACGAAGAACUCCGAUUGCGAAGGCAGCUUACUAAACUGUCACUGACAUUGAGGCUCGAAAGUGUGGGUAUCAAACAGGAUUAGAUACCCGAGUAGUC
Molecule: ribosomal RNA, 460 nt
Filed under: uncultured bacterium
Lineage: Bacteria
Description: partial 16S ribosomal RNA
Rfam family: Bacterial small subunit ribosomal RNA
Source: RNAcentral